Molecule: ribosomal RNA, 260 nt
Filed under: uncultured bacterium
Lineage: Bacteria
Description: partial 16S ribosomal RNA
Rfam family: Bacterial small subunit ribosomal RNA
Source: RNAcentral
GUCCACGCCGUAAACGAUGAAUACUAGGUGUUGGGUCGUAAGAUUCAGUGCCGCAGCUAACGCAUUAAGUAUUCCACCUGGGAAGUACGAUCGCAAGGUUGAAACUCAAAGGAAUUGACGGGGGCCCGCACAAGCAGUGGAGCAUGUGGUUUAAUUCGAUGCAACGCGAAGAACCUUACCUAGGCUUGAAAUGCAGGUGACCGGGUGUGAAAGCACCCUUCCCUUCGGGGCGGCCUGUACAGGUGCUGCAUGGCUGUCGU